GCUUAAAUAGUCUAAAAGGAUGACAAUUUGUGGUGUUGUAGGUGCAUGUAUGUGUUUUAGGUU
Molecule: transfer RNA, 63 nt
Filed under: Vargula hilgendorfii (sea firefly)
Lineage: Eukaryota; Metazoa; Arthropoda; Ostracoda; Myodocopida; Cypridinidae
Description: tRNA-His
Source: RNAcentral